Long non-coding RNA from Corapipo altera (White-ruffed manakin), 1385 nucleotides. RefSeq lists it as uncharacterized. The record is from RefSeq and is a predicted model, not a curated record. Lineage: Eukaryota; Metazoa; Chordata; Aves; Passeriformes; Pipridae. The transcript has 2 exons.
AGAAAUUAUAGAAUAUUCUGCGAGGGGAAUAAAACAUUGGAAAUUAAAAACUUCACUCGCAGAGAGAGGCACAAGCCCGAGAAUAAACCUGAAAGGCUCCUUUCUCUCGCCUUCGGUCGCACAUGCCGUGCGGUGCCAUUGGCUGCUUCCCCUGGAAUAGAUUCCGUUGCCAUGAUACCAAGUUUGCUUUUAACGAACCCCAGAAAAUUAAUGGUAUUCAGAAGAUAAGUCCUUAAAGUGGAACCUAUUUUAAGAAAUUCCUGCUAAAUGGUUUACAAGUAGUCAGGAGGGAGGGGAAGGUUUCUCGGCGCGCGGCAGAGCCUGCGCCGCUUCCCCGCCGAUUCCUGCCGGGGUGCUGGGGUGUGUGGGGGUGGUUUUUGGGGUGUGUUCCAGCCUGGGAGUGUGAGAGGUGAGGGCAGGAUUGGUGCCCAGCAUCAGCAACCCGUGCUGGGCGCUGGGCAUCCCUCCUGCUGCAGCACAGGCAACGCUUGGAUCCUCCCGGCUGUCCCCGCACGGCCUCGCUGUGCUGGAACGCUUCCCCCGGCAGCCAGUGCCUUCCUCUGGUGCUUUGGAAGCCCAAACCCUGCCCUAACUCACACACAAAGCUACAGGAUCCACGGCUGGGCCAGACCUUGGAGAGCCUGAGCACCAGCCCAGCCAGGGCAUUGAUGCUGCAAAGACCCAGCAGUGAGGGGAGAAUGGAGGUGCCCUGGUGCCACCACCCUGCUCUGGCCGCCCUCGUACUGUGCCUGCAUCCCGCUGGAUGGUCCUGGUCCUGCCAUGGUUUAACAACAAGGGUGCCUGGAUCUGUCUGUGGAGCCUCCUCACUUCCCAAUUCCAAACACCCGAGAGCUCUCAGGCACGGAGGGCCCUCCCUCGCUGCCCAUUCCACCACAUCCCAAAGCACCACCCGAAAACACCUUCCCUGAGCUUCCCAGGAAUACCUGGGGACGGCCCAGCCUUUUGGGGUCACCCCUUAACAGCCUUUCCCCUCUCCCAGCACCAACCACGGGGCUGCAUCCAGCGCUCCAGGGCCCCCACUCAACCCCACACCCCUCGCUCUGCUGAGCCUCCCCGGGCACCUCAGGGGAGCAGGAGGGAAGGAGGCAGAGGGACUCAACUCCCAAAUCCACAGGCGGCAAAGGAGGAGCACGGAGGCUCCAGGAGGAACCCGGGGGUGGCCGAGAGCGGAGAGCUCUCGGAGUGAUGCUCCCAAAUCCCUCUCUCCCAAGAACAAAGCUGCAGCCUCCCCGCAGAUGCAGAACAGGCGACGAGCGGCGAUGAUUUAUUUCUCUCCCCCGGUAGAGAAAUCAGCCUCGGAAAAAGGGUUGGUGCUAAAUUACAAUUUGCAUGCGGUGAUAUAUAUUUAAGCAACUUUCCUUCCA